Molecule: unclassified non-coding RNA, 206 nt
Filed under: Hevea brasiliensis (rubber tree)
Lineage: Eukaryota; Viridiplantae; Streptophyta; Magnoliopsida; Malpighiales; Euphorbiaceae
Source: RNAcentral
GGUUUCGCCUCAAAAGAUACCAGUUGGGGCAACAAUCAAAAAGGAAACUGGAACACCAAUGAAGGAAGCCAGCCUUGGGCCACACCAAAAUCAUCUGAUGGCAAUCAGCCCACUGGUUGGAACCAAGAAGCCUCCUUUAAAGAUAAAGGGAAUGGAGGUACUGACGGAGUUGGUAGCAGCUGGGGUGGUGCAAAUCCCAAUUCAUC